This 390-nucleotide ribosomal RNA is filed under the name uncultured bacterium. RNAcentral describes it as "bacterial SSU rRNA". It matches the Rfam family "Bacterial small subunit ribosomal RNA", at positions 28 to 420 of the family's 1533-position model. The record is from RNAcentral.
GACGAACGCUGGCGGCGUGCUUAACACAUGCAAGUCGAGCGGUAAGGCCCUUUCGGGGGUACACGAGCGGCGAACGGGUGAGUAACACGUGGGUGACCUGCCCUCAGCUCUGGGAUAAGCCUGGGAAACCGGGUCUAAUACUGGAUAUGACUCCAUGACGCAUGUUGUGGGGUGGAAAGCCUUGUGCGGCUGAGGAUGGGCCCGNGGCCUAUCAGCUUGUUGUGGGGUGAUGGCCUACCAAGGCGACGACGGGUAGCCGGCCUGAGAGGGCGACCGGCCACACUGGGACUGAGACACGGCCCAGACUCCUACGGGAGGCAGCAGUGGGGAAUCUUGCGCAAUGGGCGAAAGCCUGACGCAGCGACGCCGCGUGAGGGAUGACGGCCUGGU